ACCGGGGAUUGCCUUAGUACGGCGAGUGAAGCGGCAAAAGCUCAAAUUUGAAAUCUGGUACCUUCGGUGCCCGAGUUGUAAUUUGGAGAGGGCAACUUUGGGGCCGUUCCUUGUCUAUGUUCCUUGGAACAGGACGUCAUAGAGGGUGAGAAUCCCGUGUGGCGAGGAGUGCGGUUCUUUGUAAAGUGCCUUCGAAGAGUCGAGUUGUUUGGGAAUGCAGCUCUAAGUGGGUGGUAAAUUCCAUCUAAAGCUAAAUAUUGGCGAGAGACCGAUAGCGAACAAGUACAGUGAUGGAAAGAUGAAAAGAACUUUGAAAAGAGAGUGAAAAAGUACGUGAAAUUGUUGAAAGGGAAGGGCAUUUGAUCAGACAUGGUGUUUUGUGCCCUCUGCUCCUUGUGGGUAGGGGAAUCUCGCAUUUCACUGGGCCAGCAUCAGUUUUGGUGGCAGGAUAAAUCCAUAGGAAUGUAGCUUGCCUCGGUAAGUAUUAUAGCCUGUGGGAAUACUGCCAGCUGGGACUGAGGACUGCGACGUAAGUCAAGGAUGCUGGCAUAAUGGUUAUAUGCCGCCCGUCUUGAACCCCCGACACC
Molecule: ribosomal RNA, 587 nt
Filed under: Saccharomyces cerevisiae (brewer's yeast)
Lineage: Eukaryota; Fungi; Ascomycota; Saccharomycetes; Saccharomycetales; Saccharomycetaceae
Description: partial large subunit ribosomal RNA
Rfam family: Eukaryotic large subunit ribosomal RNA
Source: RNAcentral